AUUGAACGCUGGCGGCAUGCUUUACACAUGCAAGUCGAACGGCAGCACGGACUUCGGUCCGGUGGCGAGUGGCGAACGGGUGAGUAAUACAUCGGAACGUGCCCAGUUGUGGGGGAUAACUACUCGAAAGAGUAGCUAAUGCCGCAUGAGAACUGAGGUUGAAAGCAGGGGAUCGUAAGACCUUGCGCAACUGGAGCGGCCGAUGGCAGAUUAGGUAGUUGGUGGGAUAAAAGCUUACCAAGCCGACGAUCUGUAGCUGGUCUGAGAGGACGACCAGCCACACUGGGACUGAGACACGGCCCAGACUCCUACGGGAGGCAGCAGUGGGGAAUUUUGGACAAUGGGCGAAAGCCUGAUCCAGCAAUGCCGCGUGCAGGAUGAAGGCCUUCGGGUUGUAAACUGCUUUUGUACGGAACGAAAAGCUUCGGGUUAAUACCCUGGAGUCAUGACGGUACCGUAAGAAUAAGCACCGGCUAACUACGUGCCAGCCGCCGCCGUAA
RNAcentral lists this ribosomal RNA (500 nucleotides) under uncultured bacterium. RNAcentral's name for it is "partial 16S ribosomal RNA". It matches the Rfam family "Bacterial small subunit ribosomal RNA", at positions 30 to 523 of the family's 1533-position model. The record is from RNAcentral.